Molecule: ribosomal RNA, 549 nt
Filed under: uncultured Glomus
Lineage: Eukaryota; Fungi; Glomeromycota; Glomeromycetes; Glomerales; Glomeraceae
Description: SSU rRNA
Rfam family: Eukaryotic small subunit ribosomal RNA
Source: RNAcentral
UUGGAGGGCAAGUCUGGUGCCAGCAGCCGCGGUAAUUCCAGCUCCAAUAGCGUAUAUUAAAGUUGUUGCAGUUAAAAAGCUCGUAGUUGAAUUUCGGGGUCAGCAGGUUGGUCGUGCCUAUGGUAUGCACUGGCCUUGCUGAUUCCUCCCUCUUGAUGAGCCGUAAUGUCAUUAAUUUGGUGUUGCGGGGAAUCAGGACUGUUACUUUGAAAAAAUUAGAGUGUUUAAAGCAGGCGAGCGCUUGAAUACAUUAGCAUGGAAUAAUGAAAUAGGACGUUUGAUCCUAUUUUGUUGGUUUCUAGGAUUGACGUAAUGGUUAAUAGGGAUAGUUGGGGGCAUUAGUAUUCAAUUGUCAGAGGUGAAAUUCUUGGAUUUAUUGAAGACUAACUACUGCGAAAGCAUUUGCCAAGGAUGUUUUCGUUAAUCAAGAACGAAAGUUAGGGGAUCGAAGACGAUCAGAUACCGUCGUAGUCUUAACCAUAAACUAUGCCGACUAGGGAUCGGAUGAUGUUAAUUUUUUAAUGACUCAUUCGGCGCCUUACGGGAAAC